GAUGAAGAACGCAGCAAAAUGCGAUAAGUAAUGCGAAUUGCAGAAUUCAGUGAGUCAUCGAAUCUUUGAACGCACAUUGCGCCCUGUGGUAUUCCGCAGGGCAUGCCUGUUCGAGCGUCAUUUCAACCCUCAAGCCUCGCUUGGUGUUGGGCCCUGCCCGCCGCGGCCGGCCCUAAAGAUAGUGGCGGCGCCGCCUGGCCCUCAGCGUAGUACAGCUCUCGCUCCAGGGUCCGGCGGCAGCCUGCCAGAACCCCCCAACUCUGUGGUUGACCUCGGAUCAGGUAGGGAUACCCGCUGAACUUAAGCAUAUCAAUAAGCGGAGGA
Molecule: unclassified non-coding RNA, 324 nt
Filed under: soil metagenome
Description: partial contains 5.8S ribosomal RNA, internal transcribed spacer 2, and large subunit ribosomal RNA
Rfam family: 5.8S ribosomal RNA (bases 1-120)
Source: RNAcentral